UUUGAACGUAUUUUUGAAAAAAAUAAAGACCUGUUAAGUGAUUGUAAAUCUAGUUAACUACCCAAACAUGUUUCUUACACAAACAAAAACUUAUUUGAACUACCUGUUUCCUUUUGUAUAAUGAAAGCAGGAUAGAACUUGUAGGAUCCCGCGCGUGCACAAAACAUUAAAAGGUUUAACGAAGGUGGCCAGUACAAAAAAUGUAUAUCGACUACAAUAAACUACUUUACUAACUGAAAAGAAAAACUUAAAAAUUAAAUAUCAGAUAACACGAUCUGGAAGAUUAUUAACUGCAACAUGACGAUAGCCAUUACACUAGGCUUUAGACUUUAACAGUGACCUAAUAUAAAUAUAAAGUAGUUGGUGCUAAACAAUCUGCUUUGAGUCAAAUAGAGAAGAGCAAAAUAAAUAAAACUUCCGAAAGUUUCACAAAAACCUUUCCCUUUAUUAUAAAAGGUACACCCUGCUAAAGAAAAGAAGUAGCAUAAUUAAUAGCCACUUUAUUGGUGGAGAGUUUGAAUGGGCACUCGAGAGGAUUGAUGGACAUUUGUCUUUGUGCCCUUUGUUAUGCAGUAAAUAUAAUAGGUGAAAAUACCUAUAAAUUAAAGAAAGGCGAUAAGACCCUAAAAGCUCUAUAUAUAGUUGUUGGGGCAACAAGAACGUUAACACUUCUUUAAUCUGUUUUUUAAAUUAGUUACUUUAGGGAUAACAGCGUAAUAUCUAUUAUCAAGACCAUAUUAAUAAUAGAGAGUACGACCUCGAUGUUGAACUAAAGGAAAACUAGUGUACAAACUAGUGUCUAUCGUCUGUUCGCCGAUCCUCCUUUACGUGAUUUGAGUUCAAACCGGCGUGAGCCAGGUUGGUUUCUACCUUCUUUAGUUUACUUAAUACCUUAGUACGAAAGGAAAGAGCGUUGGUUACCACCUAAGUUAUAUUUAAUAUUUUCUUGUCGAGAAAAAGAACUUCUAAUUCUGCUAAUAUAGUUUAACAUAAAUAUUUUUCUUGUAAAAAAAAGUCA
This 1018-nucleotide ribosomal RNA is filed under the name Parasagitta elegans. Its description in RNAcentral is "16S ribosomal RNA". Lineage: Eukaryota; Metazoa; Chaetognatha; Sagittoidea; Aphragmophora; Sagittidae. The record is from RNAcentral.